UAGGCAGAAGCCUGUUGGUUUGGGCAUGCGGCUGUUAACCGUAGACUUCAUGGGAUCAAAGCCCAUCUGUCUAG
RNAcentral lists this transfer RNA (74 nucleotides) under Turdus philomelos (song thrush). Its description in RNAcentral is "tRNA-Asn". Lineage: Eukaryota; Metazoa; Chordata; Aves; Passeriformes; Turdidae. The record is from RNAcentral.